This 310-nucleotide ribosomal RNA is filed under the name Heterojapyx sp. GG-2001. RNAcentral describes it as "eukaryotic LSU rRNA". It matches the Rfam family "Eukaryotic large subunit ribosomal RNA", at positions 666 to 946 of the family's 3401-position model. Lineage: Eukaryota; Metazoa; Arthropoda; Diplura; Dicellurata; Heterojapygidae. The record is from RNAcentral.
CCAAGGAGUCUAGCAUGUGCGCGAGUCACGGGGUCUAACGAAACCCAAAGGCGCAAUGAAAGUGAAGGCCGCCUCCGGCAGGCCCAGGCAGGAUCCUCGGCGCUCGUCGCCGGGGCGCACUGCCGGCCCGUCUCGCUGGCAUCGUCCACGAGGCGGAGCAAGAGCGCACACGCUGGGACCCGAAAGAUGGUGAACUAUGCCCGAGUAGGACGAAGUCAGAGGAAACUCUGAUGGAGGUCCGCAGCGAUUCUGACGUGCAAAUCGAUCGUCAAACUUGGGUAUAGGGGCGAAAGACUAAUCGAACCAUCUA